This 79-nucleotide non-coding RNA is filed under the name Plasmodium falciparum 3D7. The record is from RNAcentral. Lineage: Eukaryota; Apicomplexa; Aconoidasida; Haemosporida; Plasmodiidae.
ACUUUUUCAUACGUGUAGUCGUGUGGGUUGCUUUUGGGUCCGGCGUUUGUUUUGGGUUUGUUGUUGUCAUCCAAAAGUG